Molecule: long non-coding RNA, 442 nt
Organism: Malurus melanocephalus (red-backed fairy wren)
Lineage: Eukaryota; Metazoa; Chordata; Aves; Passeriformes; Maluridae
Exons: 3
Source: RefSeq, a predicted model, not a curated record
CAAGGAUUUCAGCAGGUGGUUCAAGAGGCGCGCCCCCAGGGUCUUGUCCAUCCACUCGCAGGUGCUUCACUGUCAUUUCCAGGAUGUCUGCUUUUUCCAGUUUAGACUGCUGAUAAGGAAAGAGCGCAGCAGUUGGAUGCAAGGAAGAGUUUGCMCGGUUUCUCUAAAGAUCAGAUGUAUUUAGAAGAGUGUCCUUUAUUACAGGGAUGAGCAUUUCUUGUUCCUGUGGAGGARCCAAAAGGUGUAGGAAGUCCUGCUAGCUCUUGGAGCACAACCACUUGUGGAUAGGAAAACCAUGGCCCUGACAAGAUGAAGAGCACCCAGGAGCUGUGAGAAGGUGGGUGAUGCUCCAUGGGCUGGUCUGGCAAGAAGAAAAUCAGAGUUUGCACUCAUUUUGGCUUCUUCGCAAUGAGCCCAUGUAAAAAUGAUAAUAAACUCCCAC